Rattus norvegicus (Norway rat) is the source of this 4557-nucleotide non-coding RNA. The record is from RefSeq and is a predicted model, not a curated record. Lineage: Eukaryota; Metazoa; Chordata; Mammalia; Rodentia; Muridae.
CCUUAUUCUGUCUGUUCUGUGAGCGCUCAGCCAGGUCUGUUCUGUGAGCGCUCAGCCAGGUUCUGUGAGCGCUCAGCCAGGUCUGUUCUGUGAGCGCUCAGCCAGGUCUGUUCUGUGAGCGCUCAGCCAGGUCUGUUCUGUGAGCGCUCAGCCAGGUUGUUUGGAAUUUGGGCGGGACGAAGAAGGAGCUGACGAGCUCGGACUUCUCGCCCCGCAGCCCUGGAAGACGUUCCAAGGGUGUUAGGGGCCCGACUUUUCGGGGCCCAAUCUGGGAGAGGAAAAAGAUCCGGACUAACGGCACUCUGUCUGUAUUUUUGGCUUUCAGAGGGCCCCGGACCUUUGCCACCUCCAUCUGACUUUUUGCUUUCAGUUUGGUACCAAAGCCGUGCAGCACGCCUGUCUGUUGUUUGUUUGACUGUUGGUGUUGUUUGUUUUCUCUGUGUUCUAAUCUUCCUUAGAACUAACAUGGGACAGUCCCUAACAACGCCCCCAAGUCUCACUCUUGAUCAUUAGAAAGACGUCCACGACCGGGCACACAACCAGUCCGUCGAGGUUAAAAAAAAAAAAAGAAAAAUGGCAGACUCUCUGCACAUCCGAGUGGCCCACUUUCGGAGCGGGAUGGCCAGUGAAUGACACAUUUAAUAAGAUCAUUAUUUUACAGGUUAAAGAUCGGGCCGUCCACGGACAUCCUGACCAGGUUUCUUAUAUUAUCACUUGAGAGAGUCUCACCUUAAACCCCCCCGGGCGGAACCCUUCGUGGACCCGAAAUGGCCUCCCCUCAACCCCCAGCCUGCCCCCUCGGCCCCGCCCGGUCUGCCGGCCACGUCUUCCUCUCUCUACCUUUGUGAAAUCAGAGCCUUCUAAAAAAACCUGUCCUCCCGGCAGACCCAAACUCCCCUCUCAUAGAUCUUCUCUCUGACAGGCCCGGCUGAAACGGAGGAGGCAGAGCCGCCGGCCAGAUCAGUUGCCGGGCCACAGUCUGAUAAGGGUUUCUCCCCUGUCGCAGGGAGAUUGCGCAAUAAGCGCGAGGUGAUGCCAGAUACAACCUCCCAGGCUUUCCCACUUAGAUAGGGAACCGGUGGCCAGACCCAAUACUGGCCGUUUUCAGCAGCUGACAUUUACAAUUAGAAACAACACAACCCUUCUUUCUCCAAAGAUCCGGUGGCACUCAGCGACCUAAUAGAAUCUGUUUUACUUACCCACCAGCCUACUUGGGAUGACUGCCAACAGCUCUUACAGGCCCUCUUAACCUCAGAAAAAAAACAAAGAGUGUUCCUAGAGGCCAGAAAGCAUGUUCUGGGAGAUGAUGGGCGUCCCACCCAGCUGCCUGAGGACCAAACUGGGAUUUUAAUACAGCUGAAGCUUCAGGACAACUCAGCGACCGGACGGCCUGGGUACAAAGAGCUACUGGUGAGAAACAAUACCGAUGGACUACGGACCGCCGGGUUCAGCUGGCUACUGGUAAGGUGACCCAUUCCUUCUUACAUGUUCCGGACUGCCCGUACCCUCUGCUGGGCCGUGACCUGCACACCAAACUAAAGGCACAAAUUCAUUUUGAGGAAGGAGGGGCCCAAAUAACUGGCCCCCACGGAACUCCCCUUCAAGUUCUAACCCUACAACUAGAGGAUGAAUAUAGACUAUAUGAACCGGGACAGGACAAGCCACAAUCCCUAGAAAUAGACACUUGGGUCACGAAUUUUCCACUGGCUUGGGCAGAGACUGGUGGGAUGGGGUUGGCGCUCCAACAGCCCCCCUUAAUUACAACUCCAGUCUCCAUAAAACAAUACCCCCUGUCACAUGAAGCUUAUCAAGGUAUAAGGCCUCACAUUACGAGGCUUCUAGAUCAAGGCAUCCUAGUCCCCUGCCGGUCGCCUUGGAAUACGCCUCUUCUGCCUGUUAAGAAACCCGGCACUGGAGAUUAUAGGCCAAUACAAGACUUGAGAAAGGUCAACAAGAGGAUAAAAGAUAUUCAUCCAACUGUUCCAAACCCUUACAAUUUGCUCAGUAACUGUUCAUCGAUGAGAAACAGGGAUAUGCUAAAGGGGUCCUAACACAAAGGUUGGGACCCUGGAAACGCCCUGUGGCCUACCUGUCUAAGAAAUUGGACCCUGUGGCCUCCGGCUGGCCACCGUGCCUAAGGAUGGUGGCUGCUAUUGCUGUCCUGAUCAAGGAUGCUGGAAAAUUGACUUUGGGACAGCCACUCACCAUCCUAGCACCCCACGCAGUGGAGGCCUUGGUAAAGCAGCCCCCAGACCGCUGGCUCUCUAAUUCCCGCAUGAGAGGGAGAGCGAAAGGCUAGAGCUGCGGUCACUAUGGAGGACAGACAAAGUGAUUUGGGCGAAAGCCCUGCCUGCUGGUACCUCCGCACAACGGGCUGAACUCAUCGCCUUGACUCAGGCGCUCAAGAUGACAAAAGGUAAGAGGCUAAAUAUAUAUACAGACAGCCGUUAUGCCUUUGCCACGGCACACAUCCACGGGGAGAUCUACUGGAGGCGGGGGCUGCUCACAUCUGAGGGUAAAAAUAUGGCUAAAAUUCUGGCCCUCUUAGAAGCCCUAUUCUUGCCCAAAAGACUGAGUAUUAUACAUUGUCCAGGACACCAGAAAGAACACAACCCAGAGACACGAAGAAACCGGCUGGCCGAUGCCACGGUGCGAGAAGCGGCCAUGAGCAAACAAAUCUUGUCCUUAAAUAGCCCAGACCAACCCACGCCCCCACCAGUGGGACAAACCAGUUGGGUUUAUGCCCAUGAGGACAUAGAGCUCCUAAAAAAAUGGGGGCCAUCUACCACCCUCAACUAAAACAGUGGGUCUACAAAGGAAAGACAGUUAUGCCAAUAAAAAUGACUUUUAAAUUGAUCUCCUUUUUACAUAAAUUAACCCAUUUGGGGUUUAAGAAGAUGACUAGAUCGAGAAGAGAUAAAUCUGUGUUUUUUAAAUCGAGACAAAGCGAUACAAAAGGUGACUGAGAGUUACAAAGCGUGCGCUCAGGUUAACCCGAGAAGGACCAUGAUUGGACAAGGAGUUCAUCCUAGGGGACACCGUCCCGACAUCCAUUGAGAAAUUGGUUUUACUAAAAUUAAACCAGAUAUAUAUGGAUACAAGUAUCUCCUAGUGUUUGUAGACACCUUCUCAGGAUGGGUCAAAGCCUUCCCCACGAAACACGAGACUACAAAAAUGGUCACCAAGAAGCUCCUCGAGGAAAUCUUUCCCAGGUAUGACAUGCCUCAAGCGUUGAGGUCAGACAACGGGCCCACUUUUGUCUCCCAAGUAAGUCAGUUGGUGGCCAAAUUGCUGGGGAUUGAUUGAAAAUUACAUUGUGCCUAUAGACCCCAGAGUUCAGGUCAGGUAGAACACAUAAAUAGAACAAUUAAGGAGACUUUAUCCAAACUUACGCUUACAACUGGCUCAAAGGAUUGGGUGGCCCUCCUUCCCCUAGUUCUAUAUCGGGCCCGGAAUACCCCGGGCCCCCAUGGUCUAACUCCUUUUAAAAUAAUAUAUAGAACACCACCCCCAUUUGUCCAUUUCUUUGAUUCAAACAUUGCUGAUUUUGCUGACAGCCCUUCUCUGAGGGCCCAUUUACAGGCCCUACAGAUUGUACAGAGAGACGUCUGGAGACCUUUGGCCGCUGCUUACCAGGACAAGCUUGAACAUCCGGUGGUGCCACACCCGUUCCAGAUUAGAGACACCGUGUGGGUGCACAGACACCAGACCAAGAAUCUCGAGCCACGGUGGAAAGGACCCUACACCAUCCUCCUGACUACCCCGACCGCCCUAAAGGUAGACGGAGUCUCGGCUUAGAUCCACACACCACACGUCAAGACAGUCCGGUCUGAGGAAUUGACUAAUCACAUCACUACACCCCAGACAUGGAGAGUUCAGCACACUCCAAACCCCUUAAAGUUAAAACUCCUACGUGGCUCCUCCUAGUCCUUUUGUGGCCUAGAGUCAGUGGGGGAAUAAGCCCCCACCAGACAGAAAUUUCUUGACCAAGUCGAGUGAAAGAUUUCACUCAAAGUUAGCAAAAAAAUGGGGGAAUGAAAGACCCCAGCUUAGCAGCAGUAACGCCAUUUUGCAAGGCUGUACUUAAGAUGACUGGUUCAGGGAAAGGUUAGAACACUGAGUACACAGCGGCUGCCAAGCAAGAUAUGUUUGGUUGAAGGCCUGGCAACAGGACGACUUCGGUUGAGCACCUGACAAUGAAAAAAAGCCCCAGGAGAGGUCCCACACCCUGGUGGGGGGCCGAGUCAGUCGUUAUGUUCCAAGAAGGUAGCUAAGAAACUUGCCCCCGGGCUGAACCCUUGGGGGGCCGAGUCAGCCGUUAUGUUUCUGGAAGGUAGCUAGGAAACUUGCCCCCGGGCUAAACCCUUGCCAUAUUAGAAUCCACCAAUUAUAUCCCUGUAACCAUGCAUCUGCUUCUGUAUGCUUGCUUCUGCUCCCCAAAAUCCUAUAAAAGCCCAUCCUUGGUUCUGUGGGGCGCGCCAGUCCCCCGAGUGACUGAAGCGCCCGCAGGUGCCUGUGCCUGUGUAUCCCAACAAUAAACCAAAUCCUCUUGCUGAU